UGGUGAUGUUUGUGUCAUGAUAUAUAUUAGUGUUCAGGGAGGCAUAAUAAUUUAAAAAAUUACAAGGUAAUUUUUCAAAGACAUUAUUUGUAAGUACAAAUUCAUCAUAGAAUGUAAACUUGCGAACUUCAUUCCCUCCACAGAUAUCUGCAUGGAAGGUUAAAAAUACAUUUUCAAAUAUGUAACCAUGCAAUAUACAGUACUCCCUCAAAUGCUUAGAGAUAUAACUUACAUUUUUUUUUU
This 243-nucleotide long non-coding RNA is filed under the name Mytilus galloprovincialis (Mediterranean mussel). Lineage: Eukaryota; Metazoa; Mollusca; Bivalvia; Mytilida; Mytilidae. The record is from RNAcentral.